AAAUUACAUGUUUUAAUCUAGGCGAAAAGGAAGGGAGGGGGACUGAAAUCCUAAAAGGGGGAUGGUUAAAAGGAUGUGCAGGAAGUGGAAAGUACAAACUUUUUGAGCUCAAAGAGCUCAACAGGGCGGAUAAGAACACAAAGGAAGUAAUAACAAAAUAAAGUAAAAGGGAAAAGGGUCUAGAAACUGUUCUUAAAAAAACAAAAACAGCAACAAAAACCUCUUUCCUUUUUCCUAGACACGUAAACAGUAGUAACUUGGCAAAGAGGAACGGACGAGACGACAGCACAACUUCCUUCCCAAACUCCAGCAUUCCUUGGACGUCCUCACCAGCACAGUCAGGCUUGGGACAUUUCCUAGGCAAGGCUCCUCCCUGCACCACAGCCUGAGGAACCUCUGAGCAGGGACUAUCGCUGCGGGAGAGAGGAAGUGGCGGAUGCAGGGACAGAAGAUCAGCAAUACAGGCUGGACACCAAACCUGAGGGUGGCCCACUCGCAGACUCAGUCGAAAAGACUCGGAUCCUGCAGUCCCUUUCCCCACUCAAUGCAUUCACAACCGGGAGGGUGCCGCCCUGGGAGGGCCGGUCCCACCUCUUCACCCGGCUGUUUCGGGGGCACACUCAGGGUGACAAGAGGGACGAGGGGGUAGAAAUCCAAGGCCGAGUACCUGGGUAGAGAGAGAUGGCACACACAGUCUAAGGACAGGAGUGCCCUGUGAGAGUACGGAACAGCGAACCCCAGAGGCAACGUGUCCGGCCGGGCAACCAGCUCCAAGCAGCCUUACCCCGCCUCCUUCCCAGCCGGGCAGCUCCGCCCUCACCUGUCUGCAGGGAAGCCGGCAGCACUCACGUCGAGGAUUAUCCUCGCCUCUGCUCCCUGAAGUCGCCUCAGCCCUGGCCAGAAGUGAGCGGAAACGCGACCUGGGCCUUUUCCUUCUUCCCCUCCCGCCACGCACCUCGGCUCCUCCGGGGCGGGGAGCAAACUGCAACUGUCACAGCCUCACACUGUCCAACCUCCGACGCUACUCGGACCGGCAGCCUCUCCACCGGCGGCGGCCUACAGCUCCUGCACCCGGAGCAGCGGAGCCGGAAGUGAGGGGACCGGAAGUAGCGUUGUCCGUGGCCCUGGACGGCCUCUCUCUCCCUCAAUCUGGCCAGCCCAGCCACGUCUCGAUGGUGCCAGCGCACCUUCCGCGAGGUCCCCUCUCCAGGGGGGCGGGCCCCGUCCCGCCCACUGCGGCCCUAGCAACCACAUCCGGGACUCAGCCGGCGCCGUUGCCCGGAUGGUGA
RNAcentral lists this long non-coding RNA (1289 nucleotides) under Capra hircus (goat). Its description in RNAcentral is "lncRNA (ENSCHIG00010015443.1)". Lineage: Eukaryota; Metazoa; Chordata; Mammalia; Artiodactyla; Bovidae. The record is from RNAcentral.